UACGGAGGGUGCUAGCGUUGUUCGGAAUUACUGGGCGUAAAGGGCGCGUAGGCGGCCGUUUGCGUCUGAUGUGAAAGCCCGGGGCUCAACCUCGGAACGGCAUUCGAUACGGGACGGCUGGAGACCGGGAGAGGAGAGUGGAAUAGCCAGUGUAGAGGUGAAAUUCGUAGAUAUUGGCUGGAACACCGGUGGCGAAAGCGGCUCUCUGGCCCGGUUCUGACGCUGAGGCGCGAAAGCGUGGGGAGCAAACAGG
Molecule: ribosomal RNA, 253 nt
Filed under: uncultured bacterium
Lineage: Bacteria
Description: partial 16S ribosomal RNA
Rfam family: Bacterial small subunit ribosomal RNA
Source: RNAcentral